GCGUCGCAAGCUCAACAGGAUGAGCAGCCGCCUUCUAAGCGGCAGGGUCCGGGUUCGAGUCCCGGGCGGCGCG
Molecule: transfer RNA, 73 nt
Filed under: Actinoallomurus bryophytorum
Lineage: Bacteria; Bacillati; Actinomycetota; Actinomycetes; Streptosporangiales; Thermomonosporaceae
Rfam family: tRNA
About the family: Transfer RNA (tRNA) molecules are approximately 80 nucleotides in length. Their secondary structure includes four short double-helical elements and three loops (D, anti-codon, and T loops).
Source: Rfam by way of RNAcentral